GAACCAAUGAGAUUAAACAGUUCGGUGGCAUGUUUAAUUAGUCCCUCCCCUCUCCUUAAUGCUGUGGUGAUGUCACUGCAGAAAGGAGGAGCCAGAAGAAGGCAGACGCAGAACCCUGUCACCAGUAAAGAAGAGAAAAAUAGUAGCUUGAGUCUUAAAGAAGAAAUCAACUAAAGCAGAAGAGAAUGACUGUGGUGUAUCACAGGUUGAGUCCCUCAUCUCUGUUCCAAAAAUACAGUGGACAACAUAUCCCGAAUACACUGGAUGCACUUGUGAUCUACCCCAACCCCCAUCUCAUGCCUUCCAAAUGGUAACCAGACCCUCAUAUUUACAAGGCUGCAUAAGAGAAUGACUGUAGAGUUUUUGAAACAAAUUUUAAUUCUCCCAGAGAACUUAUAAACAACCCAUUCAAGAAGUACAACACACAUUUAUAGUCAACCACAAUGACCACUGCAUGAGGUAUUUUUGAGAAAAACAUGCCAAUUUUGCAGCUAAUUCAAAUGACAGGCAUGCAAAAACAUCAACACAUCAAAUAAAUAGUUAUAGUCAAGACAGACUUUCAUCAUAUAAUGCUGACCUCAUAAACCUUUACUGCAUGACACAAGUAAACAAAUAUUGCUAAGUCCAAUAAUAUCUCUUUGCGUAUAAAUAGCAUGUAAGCAUACCUUUUCCUCUUCCAGGCGUUGUGUCAAACAGAAGAAAAUGUUUCUUGUCUGACACACGCUUUUAUAGCCCCGGCACACAGGGGGCGUUGCCUAAAAACUGAUAACACCCUAUAAUCUAAACCCCUGCAGGGAAUCACAUGACACAAACACCCAUUUUCAGCAGACACACACACAACAAACAAACAAACACAAUCCAAAAAUGUGGUAAUGACAGAGAUGAAGCACAGGUGCAGUUUGGAGUGUUUUUAACACUCAACAUUAAACGCAACGCAAGUUGCAAGUCAAACAGUAUACUGUGUAUAUCCACAGAGUAAAUUAUGCUGACCAAAAGACUAAGGUUAUCUCCUUGUGUCUCCUUGAGUGUGUGGUAUGUGUGGAUUGUGUGGUUCAAUAAGGUCAGGGUUUGACAGCUAUACUCUGCACUGAGAUAUUUCACAAUGUCAGAAAUAGAAAUUAUAAGAAGAACCUUAAUCUAAAUCUUCAGAGUGCAACUGAUUGCACAACUGGAUUCCUUAUGCUUUGUGUAUUUGAGAGCCCUAAAUCUGUUCCACCUCUCAAUGUAAUAGCCACAGUCUUAGGGUUUAAGAGUCAUGCUGUUACUUCUUUCUGACACAACACAUUCCAGUCAUGAGGUAUGUCUUUAAUCAUCACACACUGAUUGUUUCAUUGUACGCAAAUGCUAAUUCUGUCCCCACCCUUAAAAGGUAAAAAAUUAAACACAAUUAAACAUUAAGGCCCCAAAAGCAAUUAAAACACAAUGUGUCAAGCAACAUGCUUAUUAGGCUUUAAGACCCAGCAAAAUGAUCUAAUAUACUGAAACAUCCAGUUUUCACCCAGCUGUUUAUGUUAAUGACAUAAUCGACUGUAUGAAUACUCCACACGCUGGGUGUUAUGAUGUAACUCUGGGUGUAUUUGACAACUUGAUAAGGUGCAACUUAUCAAUCACUUGCUGAGAGAGGCGGCUUUCUAUGCGAGCACUUCGGCUGUGUGUCAAUCAGCGCAAGUACGGCAUUGAGUUCUAUUUCACAGCUUAACUCUAUUUAACAUCAAACACGUCCUCUUUAUUAUUCCCACUCACGGAUGUUUCUUUAUAACACUUGUGUGUCAAUAAUUUUAAGUAGUACUGUGCUAUGUGCUUACAUACCGCAAAAUAAAUGAUAAAACAAUCUCUAACAAUAUACCGUUAACACAAGAUACAUGUAUAUCAUUACACUGCUCAGCAGCAUGUUUAAGUUUCUGUUUACCAUAAUUCACGAUCUUUAUGUAUGUGUGAAUCAGUGUUUAAAUGUGAAUUAUCUGUAUAUGAAGAGAUCUGUCUCUUAAAUUAAAACAGCUAAUUUCUUA
This is a long non-coding RNA of Labeo rohita (rohu), 2009 nucleotides long. RefSeq lists it as uncharacterized. The record is from RefSeq and is a predicted model, not a curated record. The transcript has 2 exons. Lineage: Eukaryota; Metazoa; Chordata; Actinopteri; Cypriniformes; Cyprinidae.